UACAGGGGGUGCAAACGUUGCUCGGAAUUAUUGGGCGUAAAGCGCGCGUAGGCGGCUACUUAAGUCGGAUGUGAAAGCCCCUGGCUCAACUGGGGAAGUGCACCCGAAACUGAGUAGCUUGAGUGCAAAAGAGGGCCGCGGAAUUCCCGGUGUAGAGGUGAAAUUCGUAGAUAUGAUGUAGAACACCGAUUGCGAAGGCAGCUCACUAAAGUGUAACUGACGCUGAGGCACGAAAGCGUGGGGAUCAAACAGG
RNAcentral lists this ribosomal RNA (253 nucleotides) under uncultured bacterium. Its description in RNAcentral is "partial 16S ribosomal RNA". It matches the Rfam family "Bacterial small subunit ribosomal RNA", at positions 524 to 776 of the family's 1533-position model. The record is from RNAcentral.